RNAcentral lists this ribosomal RNA (253 nucleotides) under uncultured bacterium. Its description in RNAcentral is "partial 16S ribosomal RNA". It matches the Rfam family "Bacterial small subunit ribosomal RNA", at positions 524 to 776 of the family's 1533-position model. The record is from RNAcentral.
UACAGAGGGUGCGAGCGUUAAUCGGAAUUACUGGGCGUAAAGCGUGCGUAGACGGUUAUUUAAGUCAGGCGUGAAAGCCCCGGGCUCAACCUGGGAACCGCGCUUGAGACUGAUGGGCUAGAGUUCGGGAGAGGAUGGUGGAAUUCCCAGUGUAGAGGUGAAAUUCGUAGAUAUUGGGAAGAACACCGAUGGCGAAGGCAGCCAUCUGGACCGACACUGACGCUGAGGCGCGAAAGCGUGGGGAGCAAACAGG